UGGGGAAUUUUGGACAAUGGGCGCAAGCCUGAUCCAGCCAUGCCGCGUGCGGGAAGAAGGCCUUCGGGUUGUAAACCGCUUUUGUCAGGGAAGAAAUCUUCUGAGUUAAUACCUCGGGAGGAUGACGGUACCUGAAGAAUAAGCACCGGCUAACUACGUGCCAGCAGCCGCGGUAAUACGUAGGGUGCAAGCGUUAAUCGGAAUUACUGGGCGUAAAGCGUGCGCAGGCGGUUUUGUAAGACAGAGGUGAAAUCCCCGGGCUCAACCUGGGAACUGCCUUUGUGACUGCAAGGCUUGAGUGCGGCAGAGGGGGGAUGGAAUUCCGCGUGUAGCAGUGAAAUGCGUAGAUAUGCGGAGGAACACCGAUGGCGAAGGCAAUCCCCUGGGCCUGCACUGACGCUCAUGCACGAAAGCGUGGGGAGCAAAACAGGAUUAGAUACCCUGGUAGUCCACGCCCUAAAACGAUGUCAACUGGUUGUUGGGAAAGGUUUCCUUCUCAGUAACGUAGCUAACGCGUGAAGUUGACCGCCUGGGGAGUACGGCCGCAAGGUUGAAACUUAAAUGAAUUGACGGGGUCAUAGCUGUUUCC
Molecule: ribosomal RNA, 589 nt
Filed under: uncultured bacterium
Lineage: Bacteria
Description: partial 16S ribosomal RNA
Rfam family: Bacterial small subunit ribosomal RNA
Source: RNAcentral